RNAcentral lists this ribosomal RNA (484 nucleotides) under uncultured bacterium. RNAcentral describes it as "partial 16S ribosomal RNA". It matches the Rfam family "Bacterial small subunit ribosomal RNA", at positions 29 to 523 of the family's 1533-position model. The record is from RNAcentral.
AGUGAACGCUGGCGGCGUGCUUAACACAUGCAAGUCGAACGAGAACGGGUUAUAGCUUGCUAUAAUUGUCAGCUAAGUGGCGCACGGGUGAGUAAUGUAUAGGUAAUAUGCCUCUUACUAAGGGAUAACAAAUGGAAACGUUUGCUAAUACCUUAUACUCCUUAUUAACAGAAGUUAAUAAGGGAAAGAUUUAUUGGUAAGAGAUUAGCCUGUAUUGUACCAGUUAGUUGGUGGGGUAAUGGCUUACCAAGACUAUGACACAUAACUGGUUUGAGAGGAUGAUCAGUCACACUGGAACUGAGACACGGUCCAGACUCCUACGGGAGGCAGCAGUGGGGAAUAUUGCACAAUGGACGAAAGUCUGAUGCAGCAACGCCGCGUGGAGGAUGACACAUUUCGGUGCGUAAACUCCUCUUAUAUGAGAAGAUAAUGACGGUAUUAUAUGAAUAAGCACCGGCUAACUCCGUGCCAGCCGCCGCCGUAA